Molecule: transfer RNA, 72 nt
Filed under: Bos taurus (domestic cattle)
Lineage: Eukaryota; Metazoa; Chordata; Mammalia; Artiodactyla; Bovidae
Also listed under: 2 other names
Rfam family: tRNA
About the family: Transfer RNA (tRNA) molecules are approximately 80 nucleotides in length. Their secondary structure includes four short double-helical elements and three loops (D, anti-codon, and T loops). Further hydrogen bonds mediate the characteristic L-shaped molecular structure. tRNAs have two regions of fundamental functional importance: the anti-codon, which is responsible for specific mRNA codon recognition, and the 3' end, to which the tRNAs corresponding amino acid is attached (by aminoacyl-tRNA synthetases). tRNAs cope with the degeneracy of the genetic code in two manners: having more than one tRNA (with a specific anti-codon) for a particular amino acid; and 'wobble' base-pairing, i.e. permitting non-standard base-pairing at the 3rd anti-codon position.
Source: Rfam by way of RNAcentral
UCCCAGGUGGCUCAGUGGUAAAGAAUCUGCCUGCCAAGCAGGAGACACAGGAUGGGAUUCCUGAAUUGGGAA